AUGCUUUCGUUAACAGCGGGGUCUCCUGGUCGCCAGCAUCUCCGAGUCAGCUGCGGGGGGUGGGCCAGAGCAGGGGAGAGGAUGGGUCCUGCGGGUGGGGGCCCAGCUCCAGCCUCAGUGUGCACCCGACCGUGCCGGCCCGGAGCAGAGAGGAUUGGGAUUCACAGGUCACCGGGACGGAAGGACCGGGCGCGGGGUACCGCGUCCCCGGGCUCACAAUCCUGCUUCGCGUCCCCAACUUGCUCUGCCUGCGAGAGGCCAGUGCUGCGGGUGGUAAAAAGAAUUUACCAACGGCCAAGGAAUUACAGCAAAGUGAAGUUUCACCAUCCACAGCAGGACAGCCGCAUUGCCCGCGUGGUGGCGCACAGCUGUCAUCCCUGCACUGGGGAGGCCGAGGCGGGAGAGUCGCUGUGAGUUCAAAGCCAGUGUGGGCUACAUAGUGCGGCCUUGUCUCGAAAAAAAUAAAAAAGAGCAGUGGAUGGGCCCAGGUGAGGCCCGCGCACUCGGGGUGAGGGCCGGGAUUCUGUGCUUGACUCUAAGGCGAGGAGGGCCGGGCGGCGUCACCCAGGGCCACAGCGCAGCCAGGUGCUGUUUGAGGACGGAGCGGGGCGCCUGUCCUCAGGCCAGCGUCCUGGGCUGG
Molecule: long non-coding RNA, 640 nt
Filed under: Fukomys damarensis (Damara mole-rat)
Lineage: Eukaryota; Metazoa; Chordata; Mammalia; Rodentia; Bathyergidae
Description: lncRNA (ENSFDAG00000029576.1)
Source: RNAcentral